GACGAACGCUGGCGGCGUGCUUAACACAUGCAAGUCGAACGAUGAACAGGAGCUUGCUCCUGGGAUUAGUGGCGAACGGGUGAGUAACACGUGAGUAACCUGCCCUUGACUCUGGGAUAAGCGUUGGAAACGACGUCUAAUACCGGAUACGUGCUGCGGCCGCAUGGCCUGCAGUUGGAAAGAAUUUCGGUCAAGGAUGGACUCGCGGCCUAUCAGGUUGUUGGUGAGGUAAUGGCUCACCAAGCCUACGACGGGUAGCCGGCCUGAGAGGGUGACCGGCCACACUGGGACUGAGACACGGCCCAGACUCCUACGGGAGGCAGCAGUGGGGAAUAUUGCACAAUGGGCGCAAGCCUGAUGCAGCAACGCCGCGUGAGGGACGACGGCCUUCGGGUUGUAAACCUCUUUUAGUUGGGAAGAAGGGAGCUUGCUCUUGACGGUACCAGCAGAAAAAGCACCGGCUAACUACGUGCCAGCAGCCGCCGUAACAC
This 491-nucleotide ribosomal RNA is filed under the name uncultured bacterium. RNAcentral's name for it is "bacterial SSU rRNA". It matches the Rfam family "Bacterial small subunit ribosomal RNA", at positions 28 to 526 of the family's 1533-position model. The record is from RNAcentral.